GAGCACCUGGACAGGUGAGGGACAGCUCAGGUGAGGGACAGGUGAGGGGACAGCUCAGGUGAGCACCUGGACAGGUGAGGGACAGGUGAGACAGAUGGGGACAGGUGAGCACCUGGACAGGUGAAGGGCAGGUGAGGGGCAGGUGAGACAGGUGGGCUCAGGUGAGCAUCUGGACAGGUGAGGGCAGGUGAGAGACAGGUGAGACAGGUGAGACAGGUGGGGACAGGUGAGCACCAGGACAGGUGAGGAAAGGUGGGGAUCAGGUGAGGAACAGGUGAGGGACAGGUGAGAAUGGGGGACAGGUGAGCUCAGGUGAGCACAGGUGGGACAGGUGAGAACAAGGGGGACAGGUGAAGGACAGGUGGGACAGGUGAGCACAGGUGAACAAUGGGGGAUAGGUGGGACAGGUGAGGGGACAGCUCAGGUGGGCUCAGGUGAGCACCUGGACAGGUGGGGGCAGGUGGGGACAGGUGGGGACAGGUGAGGACAGGUGAGCACCAG
This is a long non-coding RNA of Melospiza melodia melodia, 501 nucleotides long. RefSeq lists it as uncharacterized. NCBI's taxonomy places the organism in Eukaryota, Metazoa, Chordata, Aves, Passeriformes, Passerellidae. The transcript is spliced from 3 exons. The record is from RefSeq and is a predicted model, not a curated record.